RNAcentral lists this ribosomal RNA (484 nucleotides) under uncultured bacterium. Its description in RNAcentral is "partial 16S ribosomal RNA". It matches the Rfam family "Bacterial small subunit ribosomal RNA", at positions 30 to 507 of the family's 1533-position model. The record is from RNAcentral.
AUUGAACGCUGGCGGCAGGCCUAACACAUGCAAGUCGAGCGGAUGAAGGGAGCUUGCUCCUGGAUUCAGCGGCGGACGGGUGAGUAAUGCCUAGGAAUUUGCCUGGUAGUGGGGGAUAACGUCCGGAAACGGGCGCUAAUACCGCAUACGUCCUGAGGGAGAAAGUGGGGGAUCUUCGGACCUCACGCUAUCAGAUGAGCCUAGGUCGGAUUAGCUAGUUGGUGGGGUAAAGGCCUACCAAGGCGACGAUCCGUAACUGGUCUGAGAGGAUGAUCAGCCACACUGGAACUGAGACACGGUCCAGACUCCUACGGGAGGCAGCAGUGGGGAAUAUUGGACAAUGGGCGAAAGCCUGAUCCAGCCAUGCCGCGUGUGUGAAGAAGGUCUUCGGAUUGUAAAGCACUUUAAGUUGGGAGGAAGGGCAGUAAGUUAAUACCUUGCUGUUUUGACGUUACCAACAGAAUAAGCACCGGCUAACUUCGUG